Molecule: ribosomal RNA, 263 nt
Filed under: uncultured Desulfobulbus sp.
Lineage: Bacteria; Pseudomonadati; Thermodesulfobacteriota; Desulfobulbia; Desulfobulbales; Desulfobulbaceae
Description: partial 16S ribosomal RNA
Rfam family: Bacterial small subunit ribosomal RNA
Source: RNAcentral
ACGCAGUUCGGCUGGGCACUCUAAAGGGACUGCCGGUGUUAAACCGGAGGAAGGUGGGGAUGACGUCAAGUCCUCAUGGCCUUUAUGACCAGGGCUACACACGUACUACAAUGGCCGAUACAAAGGGCAGCGACACUGCGAGGUGAAGCCAAUCCCGUAAAAUCGGUCUCAGUCCGGAUUGGAGUCUGCAACUCGACUCCAUGAAGUUGGAAUCGCUAGUAAUCGUGGAUCAGCAUGCCACGGUGAAUACGUUCCCGGGCCUU